RNAcentral lists this ribosomal RNA (402 nucleotides) under uncultured bacterium. RNAcentral's name for it is "bacterial SSU rRNA". It matches the Rfam family "Bacterial small subunit ribosomal RNA", at positions 355 to 773 of the family's 1533-position model. The record is from RNAcentral.
UGAGGGAUAUUGCGCAAUGGGGGAAACCCUGACGCAGCGACGCCGCGUGGGCGAAGACGGUCUUCGGAUCGUAAAGCCCUUUUCUGCGUGACGAGGAAGGACGGUAGCGCAGGAAGAAGUCUCGGCUAACUACGUGCCAGCAGCCGCGGUAAAACGUAGGAGGCAAGCGUUAUCCGGAGUUACUGGGCGUAAAGCGCGCGCAGGCGGUGCGUUAAGUGUAUUGUCAAAGACACAGGCUCAACCUGGGGCAGGCAACACAGACUGACGGACUGGAGGCAGCUAGAGGGACGUGGAAUUCGGGGUGUAGCGGUGAAAUGUGUAGAGAUCCCGAGGAACACCAGCGGUGAAGACGGCGUCCUGGGGCUGACCUGACGCUGAGGCGCGAAGGCGUGGGGAGCGAAC